ACGUACACUCCUACGGGAGGCAGCAGUGGGGAAUAUUGCACAAUGGGCGCAAGCCUGAUGCAGCCAUGCCGCGUGUAUGAAGAAGGCCUUCGGGUUGUAAAGUACUUUCAGCGGGGAGGAAGGCGAUAAGGUUAAUAACCUUGUUGAUUGACGUUACCCGCAGAAGAAGCACCGGCUAACUCCGUGCCAGCAGCCGCGGUAAUACGGAGGGUGCAAGCGUUAAUCGGAAUUACUGGGCGUAAAGCGCACGCAGGCGGUCUGUCAAGUCGGAUGUGAAAUCCCCGGGCUCAACCUGGGAACUGCAUUCGAAACUGGCAGGCUAGAGUCUUGUAGAGGGGGGUAGAAUUCCAGGUGUAGCGGUGAAAUGCGUAGAGAUCUGGAGGAAUACCGGUGGCGAAGGCGGCCCCCUGGACAAAGACUGACGCUCAGGUGCGAAAGCGUGGGGAGCAAACAGGAUUAGAAACCCCAGUAGUCCCA
Molecule: ribosomal RNA, 477 nt
Filed under: uncultured organism
Description: partial 16S ribosomal RNA
Rfam family: Bacterial small subunit ribosomal RNA
Source: RNAcentral